RNAcentral lists this transfer RNA (94 nucleotides) under Planoprotostelium fungivorum. It matches the Rfam family "tRNA". Rfam says of the family: Transfer RNA (tRNA) molecules are approximately 80 nucleotides in length. Lineage: Eukaryota; Evosea; Variosea; Cavosteliida; Cavosteliaceae. The record is from Rfam by way of RNAcentral.
GACAGCAUGGCCGAGUGGUUAAGGCGGUAGACUCGAAUCUAAAAAUAGCAAUCUACUAUCUUCGGAUGCGUGAGUUCAAAUCUCACUGCUGUCG